GACGUAGGGCGCGAGCGUUGUCCGGAUUUAUUGGGCGUAAAGAGCUCGUAGGCGGCUUGUCGCGUCGUCCGUGAAAACCUGCAGCUCAACUGCAGGCUUGCGGUCGAUACGGGCAGGCUAGAGUUCGGUAGGGGAGACUGGAAUUCCUGGUGUAGCGGUGAAAUGACGCAGAUAUCAGGAAGAACGACCCGUGGCGAAGGCGGUUCUCUGGGACGGUACUGACGCUGAGACGCGAAAGCGUGGGGAGCGAACAGG
This 255-nucleotide ribosomal RNA is filed under the name uncultured bacterium. RNAcentral describes it as "partial 16S ribosomal RNA". It matches the Rfam family "Bacterial small subunit ribosomal RNA", at positions 524 to 776 of the family's 1533-position model. The record is from RNAcentral.